RNAcentral lists this unclassified non-coding RNA (249 nucleotides) under uncultured soil eukaryote. Its description in RNAcentral is "sequence contains ITS2". The record is from RNAcentral.
AAUUUCUCAAAUCUUCCGAUCUUGCCCCCCCCCACUAAGGGCUGGAGUGGUUGGUUUGGAUUGUUGGAGGCUUCUGAAUGCAGGCCCCCAUUCCUGCUCCUCUGAAAUACAUUAGCAAUGGCCGUGGUGUUGUGCACCAGUCGUUGGCGUGGUAAAAAUACUUGUAUUUUGUGCCAGUUGACAUAGACAACCUAACCCUCCCAUGCUUCUAAUCUCACCGCCCAUUUUCUGGGUGCCAUUGAUGAACAU